UACGAAGGGGGGCUAGCGUUGCUCGGAAUCACUGGGCGUAAAGGGCGCGUAGGCGGCCGAUUAAGUCGGGGGUGAAAGCCUGUGGCUCAACCACAGAAUUGCCUUCGAUACUGGUUGCUUGAGACCGGAAGAGGACAGCGGAACUGCGAGUGUAGAGGUGAAAUUCGUAGAUAUUCGCAAGAACACCAGUGGCGAAGGCGGCUGUCUGGUCCGGUUCUGACGCUGAGGCGCGAAAGCGUGGGGAGCAAACAGG
Molecule: ribosomal RNA, 253 nt
Filed under: uncultured bacterium
Lineage: Bacteria
Description: partial 16S ribosomal RNA
Rfam family: Bacterial small subunit ribosomal RNA
Source: RNAcentral